AGUGAACGCUGGCGGUAGGCCUAACACAUGCCAGUCGAACGGCAGCACAGUAAGAGCUUGCUCUUACGGGUGGCGAGUGGCGGACGGGUGAGGAAUACAUCGGAAUCUACUUUUUCGUGGGGGAUAACGUAGGGAAACUUACGCUAAUACCGCAUACGACCUACGGGUGAAAGCAGGGGAUCUUCGGACCUUGCGCGAUUGAAUGAGCCGAUGUCGGAUUAGCUAGUUGGCGGGGUAAAGGCCCACCAAGGCGACGAUCCGUAGCUGGUCUGAGAGGAUGAUCAGCCACACUGGAACUGAGACACGGUCCAGACUCCUACGGGAGGCAGCAGUGGGGAAUAUUGGACAAUGGGCGCAAGCCUGAUCCAGCCAUACCGCGUGGGUGAGGAAGGCCUUCGGGUUGUAAAGCCCUCUUGUUGGGAAAGAAAAGCAGCAGGUUAAUACCCCGCUGUUCUGACGGUACCCAAAGAAUAAGCACCGGCUAACUUCGUG
This 492-nucleotide ribosomal RNA is filed under the name uncultured bacterium. RNAcentral's name for it is "partial 16S ribosomal RNA". It matches the Rfam family "Bacterial small subunit ribosomal RNA", at positions 29 to 507 of the family's 1533-position model. The record is from RNAcentral.